This 732-nucleotide ribosomal RNA is filed under the name uncultured Leptotrichia sp. RNAcentral's name for it is "bacterial SSU rRNA". It matches the Rfam family "Bacterial small subunit ribosomal RNA", at positions 28 to 776 of the family's 1533-position model. The record is from RNAcentral. Lineage: Bacteria; Fusobacteriati; Fusobacteriota; Fusobacteriia; Fusobacteriales; Leptotrichiaceae. RNAcentral also lists the same sequence under 1 other name.
GAUAAACGCUGACAGAAUGCUUAACACAUGCAAGUCUAUGAGGAAGUUUAGCUUGCUAAAUGGACUCAUGGCGGACGGGUGAGUAACGCGUAAAGAACUUGCCCUUUAGACUGGGAUAACAGAGGGAAACUUCUGAUAAUACUGGAUAAGUUAGUAUAUCGCAUGAUAUGCAAAUGAAAGCUACGGCACUAAAGGAGAGCUUUGCGUCCUAUUAGCUAGUUGGUAAGGUAAGAGCUUACCAAGGCGAUGAUAGGUAGCCGGCCUGAGAGGGUGGACGGCCACAAGGGGACUGAGAUACGGCCCUUACUCCUACGGGAGGCAGCAGUGGGGAAUAUUGGACAAUGGAGGGAACUCUGAUCCAGCAAUUCUGUGUGUGUGAAGAAGGUUUUAGGACUGUAAAACACUUUUAGUAGGGAAGAAAAAAAUGACGGUACCUACAGAAGAAGCAACGGCUAAAUACGUGCCAGCAGCCGCGGUAAUACGUAUGUUGCGAGCGUUAUCCGGAAUUAUUGGGCUUAAAGGGCAUCUAGGCGGUAAGACAAGUUGAAGGUGAAAACCUGUGGCUCAACCAUAGGCUUGCCUACAAAACUGUUGAACUAGAGUACUGGAAAGGUGGGUGGAACUACACGAGUAGAGGUGAAAUUCGUAGAUAUGUGUAGGAAUGCCGAUGAUGAAGAUAACUCACUGGACAGAAACUGACGCUGAAGUGCGAAAGCUAGGGGAGCAAACAGG